AAAAUUAUAUAAUAUCAUAUUUGAUACGUUAUAUAUAAUGGUAAAAUAUGGUGAUAAUUGCGUAUGAAUUAUAAUAUUAUUUAUUUUGAGGCCAUUAAAGGUUGGGUAUUAAGUAGGAUUAGAUACCCUAUUAAACUAAUCCUCAAAUAUAAUUUACUUGAGUAGUAAACAGUUAUGAUCUCGAAACUUAAAAGAAUUGGCGGUAAUCAAUUUCUAAUUAGAGGAGCCUGCACUAUAAGCGAUAUUCCUCGACUAUCUAUCUUUAUCUUGCAAAUUCAGUUCAUAUACCGCCAUCAGUUGAUAAUUCUAAAAAGAAAGUAUCUAAAUUACUUUGAGUUAAUACGUUAGGUCAAGGUGUGAUUUAUGAUAAAGUAAGAUGUGGGCUACAAUAAUUAAUUUAUAUGGAUAUUAUAUGGAAUCAUAUAUUUGAAGGCGGAUUUAAUAGUAAUAAAAGUUUACUAAACUUUUAUGAUAUAGCUCUUGAUUAUGUACACAUCGCCCGUCGCCCUCGCUUC
RNAcentral lists this ribosomal RNA (515 nucleotides) under Rugathanas borradailei. RNAcentral describes it as "partial small subunit ribosomal RNA". Lineage: Eukaryota; Metazoa; Arthropoda; Malacostraca; Decapoda; Alpheidae. The record is from RNAcentral.